This is a long non-coding RNA of Hordeum vulgare subsp. vulgare (domesticated barley), 674 nucleotides long. RefSeq lists it as uncharacterized. The record is from RefSeq and is a predicted model, not a curated record. The transcript is spliced from 6 exons. NCBI's taxonomy places the organism in Eukaryota, Viridiplantae, Streptophyta, Magnoliopsida, Poales, Poaceae.
CCAUUUUUCUUAAUGUUUGUCUAGGUUUGGCGGUGCACUAACUGCACAAGUGUUCUAAAAGGUUAGCUAUUUCAUCAUUUCAUCUCACUGUUAUUUUAAUUUAGAUGCAAAAUUUGAGCUCAAAUUAACUUCUUAGAGUCUGCACAUGUGUAGGGUGCCGUUCCGUGCCCGUUCUCACCGUUGUCGACCGCCCGCGCCGAUCUCGUCGGGAGCACCAUCGUGAAUGGAGAUUCUUGAAUGUAUAAGAGGACGAAUCUAUGACAUUGGGUUCAUUGACCCAUAUUUUAUUCAUCACCAAAGUCUCGCAUUGAAUCCCCGCGAGACAAAAAAUAACUUGGCACAACUGUUAAGGUUCCAUUAUAUUCUGUUAAUCAUUGUACCUGACGAGGGACUAGUAAAAGUCAGACCCGAAACGCACACCCCUCGCUGAACGGGCGAACAUGCAGGAAUGCUUCCAGAGGGCUUGGAAACGGUUCAUCGUGAAGUGUCGGGGUGUUUGAAACCAGAGAGCUUACAUUUAGACAAAUGGAUUGCUUGAGACGGGAACAUGGGAACAAUUUAUGUGGAUACUAUGUUUGCGAGUUCAUUCACUAGACGGCUCAUGAGACGGGCACAAAGUGGGACAAAAAAAUGAAAUCGAACGGUUGCGGGACGGUCUUCUACCACAGGAACGU